RNAcentral lists this ribosomal RNA (239 nucleotides) under uncultured bacterium. RNAcentral's name for it is "partial 16S ribosomal RNA". It matches the Rfam family "Bacterial small subunit ribosomal RNA", at positions 115 to 353 of the family's 1533-position model. The record is from RNAcentral.
GUACUACCAACCUGCCGUCUACUCUUGGACAGCCUUCUGAAAGGAAGAUUAAUACCCGAUGGCAUAGUUCUUCCGCAUGGUGGAACUAUUAAAGAAUUUCGGUCAUCGAUGGGGAUGCGUUCCAUUAGGUUGUUGGCGGGGUAACGGCCCACCAAGCCUUCGAUGGAUAGGGGUUCUGAGAGGAAGGUCCCCCACAUUGGAACUGAGACACGGUCCAAACUCCUACGGGAGGCAGCAUG